GCUGCUCCGCAGAUUUUACUUUCCGGUUUAAUCGAGCUUCUUAGGCUCCCGGAGUGUGCAGCCGCGGGUGCAGGCCAGCUCGUGCCAGGUGCGCGUGUGUGAGCUUGCGUGCACGUGCCUGAGUGCGGCCACAAGGAAACCCAGAGGCCCAACUUCUCCACGAUCCACUCCAAGAACCCCGGAGUGAAACAGGACCACAGGGCAUGCACCCUGGUGCCACCCACGGAAUUCCAAAGGCGGGCACUGUCACUUAUUAGCUGCGUGACCAUCAGCAGGUUCCUGCAUGGCUCCAGGUCCCAGUUUUUCACCUGUACAAUGUAUAGAUUAAAAAUAAGAAUAUCUGGCUUAUAAUUAACUGAUCAGAAUUACAUGGAUCAGUCCCUGUGCAGUGCUUGUAACGGAGUGUGGGGGGCCGUGAGAACCACACAGGGAAACAAGUCGAAGACAGUCACCUGAAAUCGGUCAGCCAGGGGCAGCAGCAGGGAGGUGGACAGCGUAUGGCAGUUUGUCAGCUGUUUUUCCAAACAAAACAAAACAUAAAUCCCCACAGUUUUGCUGAACAUUUAAUACCAAG
RNAcentral lists this long non-coding RNA (574 nucleotides) under Cavia porcellus (domestic guinea pig). Its description in RNAcentral is "lncRNA (ENSCPOG00000035348.1)". Lineage: Eukaryota; Metazoa; Chordata; Mammalia; Rodentia; Caviidae. The record is from RNAcentral.